This 253-nucleotide ribosomal RNA is filed under the name uncultured bacterium. Its description in RNAcentral is "partial 16S ribosomal RNA". It matches the Rfam family "Bacterial small subunit ribosomal RNA", at positions 524 to 776 of the family's 1533-position model. The record is from RNAcentral.
UACGUAGGGGGCAAGCGUUGUCCGGAAUCAUUGGGCGUAAAGAGCGUGUAGGCGGCCCGGUAAGUCCGCUGUGAAAGUCCAGGGCUCAACCCUGGGAUGCCGGUGGAUACUGUCGGGCUCGAGUCCGGAAGAGGAGUGUGGAAUUCCUGGUGUAGCGGUGAAAUGCGCAGAUAUCGGGAGGAACACCUAUGGCGAAGGCAGCUCGCUGGGACGUUACUGACGCUGAGACGCGAAAGCGUGGGGAGCAAACAGG